GUCAGAACAGUUACAGAAAACAGGGAGUAAUUUGCAUCUUUACAUGGGGGUGUUGGAGACAUCAUCCUUAGUUAAUGGAGACAGCCUUAGAUGGGAAUACAAUAAAGGAAUGUACUUGCUGAGUGUAAACUGCAUCUCAGUUACAUCUGGAAGCAAGAGUGAAGAGCUGGCAGAUGUAGGUGUUUACAGCUGGAAGCCUCGUGAGGAACUGCUGAUGAAACUGGGAUUGUUUUGAUUGUGGAAGAGGAGCCUUGGAUACCAUAUCACUCUAUAAAUACCUGAAAGAGGGAUGUGGCAAGGGAGAUAUUGUCCUCUUCUCCUGUGUAAGUAGCAACAAGACUAGAGGGGAUAGCAUCAAGUUACGGAGGAAAAAAUAAGUUACGUACUAGGAAAAAGUUAUAUACUAGGAAAAAUUUAUUCUCUGAAAGAGUGGUGAGAUGCUGGAACGGGCUGCCCAGUCACCCCAUGGAAGUGUUCAAGAAACAUUCAAAUGUUGUACUUAGGGACACGAUUUAGUGUGGAAAUAUUGGUGGUAGGUUGAUGGUUGAACUAGAUGAUUGUGUAUGCCUUUUCCAAUAUUAGUGAUUCUAUGAUUCUAUGAAAUACAGCUGCUGGACAGAUGCAGGACUUACCUACAUCUAAACAAAAUGCAACUCAUUAACUGAUACAUUUUUGAAAGUCAUUUAUACAUGAUAUCUCUGCUGUGGAAGUGAAAGUGUUGGUGACUUCUUAAUGGCUGAUUUAAACGGAAUUCAUUUUCUAAAUGGAUUUCAUGCCGGAGAUACAGUGAGAUGGAGAAGUGUCAGCAAAGAGUAUAAUAAAUGUUGGAAGUCACAUUAAGAGACUGUAAGG
RNAcentral lists this long non-coding RNA (852 nucleotides) under Phasianus colchicus (ring-necked pheasant). RNAcentral's name for it is "lncRNA (ENSPCLG00000005829.1)". Lineage: Eukaryota; Metazoa; Chordata; Aves; Galliformes; Phasianidae. The record is from RNAcentral.